Molecule: long non-coding RNA, 5981 nt
Organism: Mus musculus (house mouse)
Lineage: Eukaryota; Metazoa; Chordata; Mammalia; Rodentia; Muridae
Product: predicted gene, 51710
Exons: 3
Source: RefSeq, a predicted model, not a curated record
AGUUCCGCUUUCCCUUCUUAGCAGCCACACUGCACAUGGCUUCUAGGCAAGGUGGCCUUUGUCUGCCUCUUGGGACAGGGCUAGCUCACAUCCUUCCUCCUACACUGUGGAAGCCUUAGCUGCUGCGUGUCGCUAACACCCUGCUUGACAGGAUUUGAGCAGUAGAAACUGGAGAGGAAGAGAGAAGAGGAUUGGGAGGGGGCAGACUAAAGAUGAGAGUGGCCUCCCACUGAGCUCUGGGUCACCUUGUCUUCCCACAUUCUCAGCUCUGGUAUCACCUGUGUAGCCAAGGUCCCGUAUUAAAUUCCAUUUGUGGGGCCAACUACAAUGCCAAGGCCAACUGCAAGGGAAAGCUGGAGAGGCGAAAAUCCGUGACAACAGCAGAGACAACCACGGUCUGUACUUUCAAUUUUAAAACACCUUAUUUUCUUGAAACCAUGGCCACAGCCACAAUGACACCAGAAGUUCCUCCUGAAAGUACCUGGUGGUUAUCCAGAGGUGAGUGACUCACUUGCUGAGGAGGUCACACGAGCAUCACGCUGGGUCCUUGGCUGCUGGGGAGGGCAGGUGACCAGCCAAAACCCCAAACCUCCUCUAGCCUUCUCUUAGGUUUGGAGAUGGGGUCGGGCUCUAGCUGGAGUCCCUGAGAUAGGGCGAGAUUGUUGGGGUGUUGGGGAACUGUGAAGCUCUUCACACAGCAGCAGGGGCUGGGUGGCAGAGCAGUUAUGGCACUUCAGGCCCACAGGGAAAAACAACAAUGAAAGAGUGGGGGCCGUGGUGACUUGGGGUCCAGCAACUGGGAGGGAAGUUUUACUUCCUUUCCCACAGACGUAAUUAAAAUCAAAAGGAGCCGACUGAGGUGGGCAUGUGGCACACACUUGUAAUCCCAGCACUCAGAAAGCUGAGGCAGGAGUUCAAGGGUAGCCUGGAUUACAGAGUGACUCUGUUGAAAGAAGAAAAAGAGAGAGAGGGAAAGAGAGAGAGGCAGAGAGACAGAGAAGGAGGAGAGGAGGGGAGGGGAGGGGAGGGAAGAGGAAAGGAGAAACAAAAGAGAGUAAGGGGUCCCCAAGGGUAAGAGUGUGCAAGCCUAUUGAUCUGCGUUCAAUCCCUGGGACUCACAGCAGCAGGAAAGUGACUCCUGAAAGCUGUCCUCUGAUCUCCAUGUGCACCCAUGUACACACACACACACACAUAUAUAUGUUAUAUAUCAUAUGUGUAGAUAUUAUGUGUGUAUAUAUGUAUAUGUGAUACAUUAUGUAUAUAUACAUAUAUGUGUGUAUCUAUGAAAUAUAAGAUGGUAAAUGAGAUUUGUCAUAUAUGUGAAUAUACACACACACACACACACACACACACACACACACGAAAAAUGGCUCCUGAAGCCGGUUGAUAAGCAGAUGAAUUUGUGCACAGGAACUCUGAGGUCCUGCCUCCUGCCCUGAAGUGACGAUGGCGGGUAACUCUUUCAGGGAAGAGAUUCCCAUGGAGUGCCUCCCAUAUGAGGACGAGUGGGUGACAGCUUAGCAGACACUGAACAGUCAGACCAUGACCUACUGUAAAAAGGGUCCUUCACUCUUAGCCCAAGCUGAUUUACCCAAGAAACCUAGAGGCCGGCUUCAAGGAGGAGGCCUGAGGCAGAGCCUUAAGGGCUGCCAGACAAGCUCAUGUCUACUUUUUUGUCUUCAGUCUUGAGUGGAACCGCUCAGCUCCUGGGUCACGUGUGCCAUACGCUCAUGAGGAAAACCAGGCUCAACAUAUCUAGACCACAUAAGGCUCCAAUCUAGCAUCAGAGAGUACUGCCCAGCACCGGCUCCUACCUGUCCUUACACGCCCCACACACACUUACCCCUUACUGCUAACUGGUUUCUACCAUGCAGGACUCUGACUGCUCUGGCGAUAUGACCAUUUGCUAAUCUGCCAACUUAACAAGAAAAUGUAGUUAGUAUUAUGCAGCUAUUUCUUCCAGAUUGAAACAUGGCCUCCUCGAGGAUCAAGGGAGCCUCAGAACAUCCACGACCAACUUACAAAGACUCGCAGGGCUCCUCUUCGGGUUACCGAAGCAGGAAGUAACUGCGGGGAGGGGUUCUUCAGUGGAGCUGCUGGCUCCAGGAAUACAGAUCUUGCGCUGCCAACCAUGCUAAGAUGGGCUCUUCAGUGAUGCAGCUGUGAAAAUCACCCACACUCCUGUAAGCUAUGCAGAUAAUGGCAUCACCAAGCUGGACCUGGACAGCAUCACCUUUGGUGUAUCAGUGCCCACCCUACCUGCGAUUACCCUGGGGGGGGGGGGGCGGGGGGGGGGAGAAUCCUUCAUAGCUGGGACUUGUGCAAAGCUGAGCAAUAAAAAAAAUCAGGCAAACGAGUCAAAGAGCCAGCUAACGGAAGAUGGCUUUAGAGAUGAGAAUGGAACUGUGGCAGUACUUCCCCGACUCAAGAGCCAGGAGGUAAGAGAUCCGCGGUUUUCUGAGACAAAACACACAGCAGGUACAUUUCUUAAGGAAAUGCUGCCAUUAAAAAAUAAAUGUAGACCUGAAGGGACAGCCAUAGACCCUGCUCCUCCACUCAGUACCCCUCAGUAGGUGUGUCCCUGGUCACUUGCCCCACCCACUCCCUCUCCAGGGCACUGUGAAGACAUUAUGUAAGGGGCCAGUGUAUGGCAACCAUAGUGCAUGCUGACUUACUUGUGCCCUAGCCCACCCCUGCCCUUCCAAGAUUGAAGACAAAGACCACCCAGUCAGAUGGGGAUCUGGCUUGUUCCAGUUCCCUAUCACAAUGAUGAUCAUAAAGAAAGAAAAGAAUUACACCUUCGAAAAAUGCAACGCAGGCAGGGUGGUCCCCAGGACAGCAGCCAAGGAGAGAAGUGGGGCUUUAGUUUUCCAGAGCGUUUCUAUCCAAGCCUGGGCUCCCAGCUUGCUUCUUUAGAGCAGCCCAAAAGCAGCAACCCCCAGCCCCACAUAGACACUUUUUAAAAAGUCACUUUUCCAGAGAAAGCUGCUAGAGGCACUGUUCGUACUAGGAGACUCUGCCGGUUCAAGUGUGGGGACCCUCCCUUCCAGGCUCACUGGACAAUCUCUGUUAGAGAAAAGUCACCCUGACAAAGGUCAGAGGUAAGCCCCUGUCUUUGCCAGGAAGCUGCACCCGUCUUGCAGAACACAGCCACUCCCUCCAGUGGGACAGAGAGCAAGGGUGCCCUCCCCUUCAUUGGGAGACAACAUCUGAAAAUAGUCUUCCUAUUAGUGGCCCGCAAAGCAGCAAGCCCCUGAUGUCUCCUCUGCUCUGCUACCAUCUCUCCCAAACAGGGCCCCUGGAUGGUUCUGCCACCUCUGCUUGCUCGUGCCCCUCCUCAUGGUUUUACACUUGCAGUGACACACCUGGCCAGAGUGUAACCCUGUCCUCACCUCACUGCUCUGUGACCACAACAGACUACCCCAGCCCCUGCUCACCCGCCUGUUUAUCCUGAUCUCACCCUCUGAGCUGUAGAACAACCAAGAGCUACUUAGCACCUACAGGCCAACACUGCACCUAUCCUCAAGCACAGGCCCCUAGGAGCACGGGAUGGGGCUCCCACAACCCCUAGAGGCCAACCCAAACUGAGUGAGGAAGCCAGAAAACCAAGCCUGGGGCACAGCUAUACACAGCAGGCUUUCCUCCUGCCAACAGAGGUGAUCACUGGGAAUAAGUGGAUGCGUGCAUGGCCUCUCCCUCCACCUUGAGCUGUUGGGCUUGAUUCUUCUCCACCCCACCCCACCCAUGAGCUGCUAAAUUGGCUGGAGCUCUCAAUCAGUAAGGCAAGAGCUCUGUAUCACAAGCUGCAAAGGGUGGCUUGCUCAGCUGGGUUCAGGCAGAGCUGGCCUCAGAGCUGGCCUCAGAGCAUGCAAUCUCAAAGCACAGACCAUAAACAUAAAAUUAAAAGGUAAAGUAACAAGGGCAGAGAUGUUUACUGGAAAGUUUGCUUUUGCUGCCCAGAAAAUAUGGGCUUUUUAUAAACACACACACAUAACGCCUCUGCUGCCCACCUUUAGAAGUAUGUACUUUGCUCUAUAUGUGGCUUUUUUAUCUGCCCCUGUUACACUCAGCUCAUGACCGGGAAACCUGGAAUCAUCACCCACAUAGAAAUGACACCCUUGGCACCACCAGGGAUGAACAACACAUGGGCUGCAUUUACAGUUGCUCACCAACUAGCUCAAGGGACAAACCCCAGUUUCCCAGCAGAGGAUUAAUCCCAUGUGAAAAAAAAAUUAUUCCUGAAGCUAGGGAAGUGCUUGGGGGGUGGGGGGGGGGGGGACAACAACAACCUCAUGUUAAAGCUGGCUGCCAAUGAGGUACCCACCAGGAUGGCUUCCAGACACAAAGAGCAUCAUACCAGGAGGCAGAAGUUGGGCCACGUGUGUCACUUGCUAGCUUAGGUCCCAUCCUUCCAUGUCUCUCUCCCCAGCCAGGACCAGUGGCUUCCCAGUUCCAAGUAUUCACUGUGUGCCUGGCACAGGAAGCCCUCAUUACCACCAGUUGAGAGCCACCUACUAAAACCUGCAGUAUCACUCUGAGCCCUUCGAGGACGAAGAGCACACUAUCUGUGUCUCUAAGCACCGUCACAGCUUGCUAGUUAUUUAACUGAUGGAUUCCCUGGCCCUCUGAAUGAAUCACGGCCUAGCUCUGCCCAAUUGCCAACACCUGAAUCCCCCCAAGUCUAACUCUGCAAAGCUCCUAGUCUACCACUCAACUCUAAGAACCUUCAAGGUUAAUGCAAAUUGACACAUUCGCUGACCUCCUGUGGCUCAUGCCACACUAACUGAAUAUUCUUCACCUUUGCCUUCCUUCCAGGAAACAACCCUGUCCCUUCAUCUGAACCAGAGAUUCCAACCCAGCCGCCCUUGAUGGUUUAACAUCUACUCCAUGCCCCAACAGAUUUCUUAGAGUGCUAUAGUAGCAGCCACUCUCCAUCAAAGACAGGAACCCUUUGGCCAAAGAACCAGGGAACAACACCCACUCCUCCAUCUUUCAGAGCCCCCAGAAUGCACCAGGGCACAGCCAAGGAUCUGGCACUGAUGGAUGCCAGCACUGGCUGAGGCCUCGGUAGCAUGAACCAAGUGUGGGUGUGUGCCAUGGCCUGUUUAAUCCAUUCCUGCUCCACCCCUGGCCCCACCCCCCAAGUCUUCUGUUUCCUGAGCAGAAAUAACCAGCUGCAGAUGGUUCCACUACUUCAAAGCUCUUGAGAAACCACCGGACCCAGAGAUGCUGAGACAACCAGGCUGCCAGCUGAUGACCAAAUCUGCACAGCUAGCCCCAAGAUGCCUGAAUUCUUAGUGCGUGUGCUUUAUUUUUGUAGCCAACCACCAUCACUUUCCACCCAGAACACACAUGCCCGUCACACCAAACCACAGCCUUACAUAAGCACCUGCAGCUGUGGCUCUCAGUCCCAGUUACACACUGCAGUCACCUAGAGAAAGCCAGAAAGUACCGCCGUUCUCACCUCCACCUGCGGCAAUUCUGAACCAAGUGGUCUGAGGAUCCAAACGUUUGUAGGCAGCCGGGAUGGUUAAUACUGAUUACCAACGUCGCAGGAGCUAGAAUCACCUAGGAGAGCACUGGGCACAUCUGUGAGAGAGCCUCUAGAUUCAGUUUACUGAAAUGGGAAGGACUACCCUAACUGUGUGUGGGCAACACCAUCCCAGAGGCUAGGAACCCAGGCUGAAUCAAGAGGGAGCCAGGAGAACACAAGCAUACAAGCAUACAAGCAUUCAGCUCAUGCUCGCUCGCGCUCUCUCUCUCUCUCUCUCUCUCUCUCUGCUUCCUCGUUACAGAUGCCCUCGUUACCCAUUGCCUCACGCUGCUGUCACCAUUUCUCCCAGGCCAUGACAGACUGCGCCCUCAAACCACAAAGCAGAACAGACCCUUCUUUCCUUAAGUUGCUGCUUGCUGAUCAAGCAUUUUGUCACAGCGAUGAGAAUUUUACUAAAACAGAAGCCAAGGCAAAAAAAAAAAAAAAA